CGGGCAUAAACUUUAUUUAUGCUAACGUUAGCAUAAAUAAAGUUUAUGUUUGGCUGAGCCUGCUGUUCGGUGCUUGAUAGUUUGGAAUUUGGUAUCUAAGUUUCAAAUAAUUUGAUCUCACAUAUAUAUAAGAUCCUCAAUGGUAUCUUUAUUUUAUCAAACUAGGGAGGCUUGUGUGCCCUGACAACCUACAAAGCUAUGCUGUUAGUAAUGCAAAAACUAGCAAAGUCACCCAACUUGGAUAGGUGUUCAUUGAUAGGAACCAGACUAAAAGAGAUACCUAGGAGAAGGAAGACUCCAGUUCAAAUCCUGACAAUGGACAGCAGCAUUAUCAGUAUUGACCUGAGGCCAAAGACAAAGUCAAAAGUGUUUAGAAUCGAAUAUUUACAAAUAAGAUCACAGUGAUCAAAGGGUUAUAACACUGCUAUUGAAAAAAAAAAAUAUCACAUUAUGAUCUUAGUAAAAACAACAGUUCCAAAUAGAUAUGGAAACAAAAGAUAUUUAAGGGAAAGGCAAUGGAACCUCUAACUUAGAAGUCAUGCUUGACAUGAGAGAAAAUUAGGUUUCUCAGAUCAUUGGUAAACAAAAUCCUGAUAUGAGAAGAAGAAAGAAAAAUGGAAGAAAUGAUUAAAUUAGGAGUUGUUAGAACAUUUUGGAAUUAGGAAAACUAGAAAAUCUCAAUCAGAAAAUGACCAUUGACAUAUUAAGAUUAAGUGAGACCAGAUAGAAUUGAUCAUGAAGAUUUCUGGAAUGGAGAAUUUAGAAUAAUUCAUUUUGGAAACAAAAGAAAUUCAAGGGUAACUAUUAUUUUGAAUAAGAAAAUAGGACAGUUGGUUAACACAAUAAUUAGAGUGAUAGAAUUUUGUUAGUAACCUUUCAAACAACUUCUAUUAAUCUUAACCUGAUUAUGGUCUAUAUGCCAACAAACCCU
RNAcentral lists this long non-coding RNA (931 nucleotides) under Androctonus crassicauda. Lineage: Eukaryota; Metazoa; Arthropoda; Arachnida; Scorpiones; Buthidae. The record is from RNAcentral.